GCAAGUCGAACGAACCUUCGGGUGAGUGGCGCACGGGUGCGUAACGCGUGGGAAUAUACCCUUGACUACGGAACAACGUCUGGAAACGGACGCUAAUACCGUAUAAUGACUCCGGUCCAAAGAUUUAUCGGUCAAGGAUUAGCCCGCGUUUGAUUAGAUUGUUGGUGAGGUAACGGCUCACCAAGUCGAUGAUCAAUAGCUGGUCUGAGAGGAUGAUC
This 218-nucleotide ribosomal RNA is filed under the name uncultured bacterium. RNAcentral describes it as "partial 16S ribosomal RNA". It matches the Rfam family "Bacterial small subunit ribosomal RNA", at positions 57 to 305 of the family's 1533-position model. The record is from RNAcentral.